RNAcentral lists this ribosomal RNA (474 nucleotides) under uncultured bacterium. RNAcentral's name for it is "partial 16S ribosomal RNA". It matches the Rfam family "Bacterial small subunit ribosomal RNA", at positions 28 to 507 of the family's 1533-position model. The record is from RNAcentral.
GACGAACGCUGGCGGCGUGCUUAACACAUGCAAGUCGAACGGUAAGGCCCUUCGGGGUACACGAGUGGCGAACGGGUGAGUAACACGUGGGUAAUCUGCCCUGCACAUCGGGAUAAGCCUGGGAAACUGGGUCUAAUACCGAAUAGGACCACAGGACACAUGUCCUGUGGUGGAAAGCUUUUGCGGUGUGGGAUGGGCCCGCGGCCUAUCAGCUUGUUGGUGGGGUGAUGGCCUACCAAGGCGACGACGGGUAGCCGGCCUGAGAGGGUGUCCGGCCACACUGGGACUGAGAUACGGCCCAGACUCCUAUGGGAGGCAGCAGUGGGGAAUAUUGCACAAUGGGCGAAAGCCUGAUGCAGCGACGCCGCGUGGGGGAUGACGGCCUUCGGGUUGUAAACCUCUUUCACCAUCGACGAAGGUCCGGGUUUUCUCGGGCUGACGGUAGGUGGAGAAGAAGCACCGGCCAACUACGUG